This is a non-coding RNA of Otolemur garnettii (small-eared galago), 293 nucleotides long. Lineage: Eukaryota; Metazoa; Chordata; Mammalia; Primates; Galagidae. The record is from Rfam.
GCCAGACGUGGUGGCAUGCACCUGUAGUCCCAGCUAUUUGGGAUGCUAAGAUAGGAUCGCUUGAGUCCAGGAGUUCUGGGCUGUAGUGUGCAAUGCCAAUUGGGUGUCCACACUAAGUUUGGCAUCAAUAUGGUGAAUUCCUGGGAGCAGGGGGCCACCAGGUUUCCUAAGGAGGGGUGAACUGCCCCAGGUUGGAAACAUAGCAGGUCAAAACUCCCAUGCUGAUAGUGGGAUCGCACUUGUCAAAAGCCACUGCACUCCAGCCUGAGCAACAUAGCAAGACCCUGUCUCUA